GGAAAACGGUGUGCAAUUGGAGUUUUGGAAACGAUGAUGAAAGAGAGCUUUUCCAGGCAAAAAAUAAAUAAAUAAACGUCACUUUCUGUUCAUCAGCCAAAUCGGGGAAAAACAUGUUUUACAGGUGGCGAUGGUGGUCUUUGCACUUGGCCCAGAAAAGCUCAUAUCGCCUAAAUUACGUGACUCUCUACUGAGUGUUGGGACCCCUCUGACUCCAGGGCAGCUCCCCUAUCCGACUUCUGAUGAAGAUGAAUCGCGUGUCGCCGCUUCUAAUGUUCUUAUUUUUUUAUUUACUUUAAACAUGAUUCUCUUACAUUCUGUAUUUUGCUCUCUCUCUCUGUCUGUCUGUCUCUCUUUCUCUCUCUCUCUUCCCGUCUGCUUUUGACCCUAUUGACUGGUAAUUGCUAUAACGACGGCAAAUGGAGGCCAGUUUCUAUGGAGACAAUAAAACUGUCAUGUAGUGAAUAAUAAAUAUUUGCGUGGCAAUUUUGUGCUCCACUGACCCCAAAAGUCAAAGACAGAAAAUAAAC
RNAcentral lists this long non-coding RNA (530 nucleotides) under Gadus morhua (Atlantic cod). Its description in RNAcentral is "lncRNA (ENSGMOG00000028815.1)". The record is from RNAcentral. Lineage: Eukaryota; Metazoa; Chordata; Actinopteri; Gadiformes; Gadidae.